AACCAAAAAGAAUCCAAAUGUUCAUCAACUGGGAGUGAAUAAGCAAAUUGCACAACUAUAUAUAGAAUUCUACUCACUAAUAAGAAGGCAAGAACUACUGGUAGAUGCAAUAAUGUGGAUACAGCCUGGCUGAGGAUGCUUGGAGUUACAUCAAAAGAGAAUGAGAGCAGCAGCAGCUGUGGGGAACACUUCCUGUGCGUGCUGAAAGCCCUCCCACGGUGAGAAGCUGCCCUGUCCCUGCUUUCCUGCCUCAGGGCUUCCUCUGAAGCCUGAAGAGCUCCCUCAGCCCAGGCCAGGUGACAUUCAAGCAUUAAUCAGACCAACCCUUUGUGAGCAGCUGCUGGAGAAGUCAGAUCCCAUGCUCCAUGCUCAUAGAAGUACUCACUAAAGGCAGUGUGGCACUGGACUGGAAGCCAGGCUUUCUUAUCUCAGUGCUGCAAGAAUUUAGUAUUACAUGCACAGAGAAGCCUGGAAAUGAGAAAUUUAAUGCACAGAGGCAAAUUUCAACAAUAUGAGAAAGGAACUAGCAGAUAAAUACUCCAGCUUCCAAUCAAAAAAAGGGAAGAU
Lepus europaeus (European hare) is the source of this 567-nucleotide long non-coding RNA. RefSeq lists it as uncharacterized. The record is from RefSeq and is a predicted model, not a curated record. The transcript is spliced from 6 exons. Lineage: Eukaryota; Metazoa; Chordata; Mammalia; Lagomorpha; Leporidae.